This 73-nucleotide transfer RNA is filed under the name Gemmataceae bacterium. It matches the Rfam family "tRNA". From Rfam's summary of the family: Transfer RNA (tRNA) molecules are approximately 80 nucleotides in length. Their secondary structure includes four short double-helical elements and three loops (D, anti-codon, and T loops). The record is from Rfam by way of RNAcentral. Lineage: Bacteria; Pseudomonadati; Planctomycetota; Planctomycetia; Gemmatales; Gemmataceae.
GCGCCUGUAGCUCAGUCGGUAGAGCACGAGACUUUUAAUCUUGUGGUCGAGGGUUCGAUCCCCUCCGGGCGCA